This 490-nucleotide ribosomal RNA is filed under the name uncultured Riemerella sp. Its description in RNAcentral is "bacterial SSU rRNA". It matches the Rfam family "Bacterial small subunit ribosomal RNA", at positions 26 to 507 of the family's 1533-position model. The record is from RNAcentral. Lineage: Bacteria; Pseudomonadati; Bacteroidota; Flavobacteriia; Flavobacteriales; Weeksellaceae.
AGGAUGAACGCUAGCGGGAGGCCUAACACAUGCAAGCCGAGCGGGAUUUUGUUGGUUAGCUUGCUAACUGAUAAUGAGAGCGGCGUACGGGUGCGUAACACGUGUGCAACCUGCCUUUAUCUGGGGGAUAGCCUUUCGAAAGGAAGAUUAAUACCCAUAAUAUAUUGAUGGCAUCAAUUAAUAUUGAAAGCUCCGGCGGAUAGAGAUGGGCACGCGUAAGAUUAGCUAGUUGGUGAGGUAACGGCUCACCAAGGCUGCGAUCUUUAGGGGGCCUGAGAGGGUGAUCCCCCACACUGGUACUGAGACACGGACCAGACUCCUACGGGAGGCAGCAGUGAGGAAUAUUGGACAAUGGGUGAGAGCCUGAUCCAGCCAUCCCGCGUGAAGGACUAAGGACCUAUGGUUUGUAAACUUCUUUUAUACAGGGAUAAACCUACUCUCGUGAGGGUAGCUGAAGGUACUGUAUGAAUAAGCACCGGCUAACUCCGUG